Molecule: ribosomal RNA, 253 nt
Filed under: uncultured bacterium
Lineage: Bacteria
Description: partial 16S ribosomal RNA
Rfam family: Bacterial small subunit ribosomal RNA
Source: RNAcentral
UACGUAGGUGGCAAACGUUGUCCGGAUUCACUGGGCGUAAAGCGCGCGCAGGCGGAUUGGUCAGUCUGGGGUGAAAUCUCUCGGCUCAACUGAGAGAGGUCCCUGGAUACUGCCAGUCUUGAGGGGCUCAGAGGAGAGUGGAAUUCCGCGUGUAGUGGUGGAAUGCGUAGAUACGCGGAGGAACACCAGUGGCGAAAGCGGCUCUCUGGGGGCCACCUGACGCUGAGGCGCGAAAGCGUGGGGAGCAAACAGG